This 468-nucleotide ribosomal RNA is filed under the name uncultured bacterium. RNAcentral describes it as "partial 16S ribosomal RNA". It matches the Rfam family "Bacterial small subunit ribosomal RNA", at positions 28 to 507 of the family's 1533-position model. The record is from RNAcentral.
GACGAACGCUGGCGGCGUGCUUAACACAUGCAAGUCGAACGGAAAGGCCCUGCUUUUGUGGGGUGCUCGAGUGGCGAACGGGUGAGUAACACGUGAGUAACCUGCCCUUGACUUUGGGAUAACUUCAGGAAACUGGGGCUAAUACCGGAUAGGAGCUCCUGCUGCAUGGUGGGGGUUGGAAAGUUUCGGCGGUUGGGGAUGGACUCGCGGCUUAUCAGCUUGUUGGUGGGGUAGUGUCUUACCAAGGCUUUGACGGGUAGCCGGCCUGAGAGGGUGACCGGCCACAUUGGGACUGAGAUACGGCCCAGCCUCCUACGGGAGGCAGCAGUGGGGAAUAUUGCACAAUGGGCGGAAGCCUGAUGCAGCAACGCCGCGUGCGGGAUGACGGCCUUCGGGUUGUAAACCGCUUUCGCCUGUGACGAAGCGUGAGUGACGGUAAUGGGUAAAGAAGCACCGGCUAACUACGUG